AUGUCUGUUUUCAACUUGAACUUGUCUUUAAUGAUUGUUUCUUUGUUGUUGUUGAGCACUACAAUGGCUCAAUCUCCAACUAAAUCGCAGCCACCUAGGAAAUCAAUCUCUCCGUCACCUGCUGCUGUAACUCAAUCACCAGCAUCUUCUCCACCUCAACCGUUUGCUUCUACUCCGGCCAUCUCUCCUUCUUCCAUCUCUGGUCCGCCAUCUGAAGCACCAGGACCUGCUUCGGACGCUGUCGUUUUGAACAGAGUUUCAGUCGGUGUUGGAUCUGCUCUUGUGAUUUUCGUAGCUUUUUUGAUCUUGUAA
RNAcentral lists this long non-coding RNA (312 nucleotides) under Vicia faba (fava bean). The record is from RNAcentral. Lineage: Eukaryota; Viridiplantae; Streptophyta; Magnoliopsida; Fabales; Fabaceae.